UACGUAGGGGUGCGAGCGUUUGUCCGGAAUUACUGGGCGUAAGGAGCUCGUAGGUGGUUUGUCGCGUUGUCCGUGAAAACUCACAACUCAAUUGUGGGCGUGCGGGCGAUACGGGCAGACUGGAGUACUGCAGGGGAGACUGGAAUUCCUGGUGUAGCGGUGGAAUGCGCAGAUAUCAGGAGGAACACCGGUGGCGAAGGCGGGUCUCUGGGCAGUAACUGACGCUGAGGAGCGAAAGCGUGGGGAGCGAACAGG
Molecule: ribosomal RNA, 255 nt
Filed under: uncultured bacterium
Lineage: Bacteria
Description: partial 16S ribosomal RNA
Rfam family: Bacterial small subunit ribosomal RNA
Source: RNAcentral